This 254-nucleotide ribosomal RNA is filed under the name uncultured bacterium. Its description in RNAcentral is "partial 16S ribosomal RNA". It matches the Rfam family "Bacterial small subunit ribosomal RNA", at positions 524 to 776 of the family's 1533-position model. The record is from RNAcentral.
CACGUAGGGGGCGAGCGUUGUCCGGAUUUAUUGGGCGUAAAGAGCUCGUAGGCGGCUCAGUAAGUCAGGUGUGAAAACUCCAGGCUCAACCUGGAGACGCCACCUGAUACUGCUGUGGCUAGAGUCCGGUAGGGGAGCAUGGAAUUCCUGGUGUAGCGGUGAAAUGCGCAGAUAUCGGGAGGAACACCAGCGGCGAAGGCGGCACUCUGGGCUGGAACUGACGCUGAGGAGCGAAAGCGUGGGUAGCAAACAGG